AACGAACGCUGGCGGCAUGCCUAACACAUGCAAGUCGAACGAGACCUUCGGGUCUAGUGGCGCACGGGUGCGUAACGCGUGGGAACCUGCCUUUAGGUUCGGAAUAACUCAGAGAAAUUUGAGCUAAUACCGGAUGAUGUCUUCGGACCAAAGAUUUAUCGCCUUUAGAUGGGCCCGCGUUGGAUUAGCUAGUUGGUGGGGUAAAGGCCUACCAAGGCGACGAUCCAUAGCUGGUCUGAGAGGAUGAUCAGCCACACUGGGACUGAGACACGGCCCAGACUCCUACGGGAGGCAGCAGUGGGGAAUAUGGGACAAUGGGCGAAAGCCUGAUCCAGCAAUGCCGCGUGAGUGAUGAAGGCCUUAGGGUUGUAAAGCUCUUUUACCCGAGAUGAUAAUGACAGUAUCGGGAGAAUAAGCUCCGGCUAACUCCGU
RNAcentral lists this ribosomal RNA (432 nucleotides) under uncultured bacterium. RNAcentral's name for it is "partial 16S ribosomal RNA". It matches the Rfam family "Bacterial small subunit ribosomal RNA", at positions 29 to 506 of the family's 1533-position model. The record is from RNAcentral.